GACGAACGCUGGCGGCGUGCUUAACACAUGCAAGUCGAACGAAGUGGCGAACGGGUGAGUAAAGCGUAAUCAACCUGCCCUUCAGAGGGGGACAACAGCUGGAAACGACUGCUAAUACAGCAUACUGAAGGAGGGGCUUGCGUCUGAUUAGCUAGUUGGCGGGGUAACGGCCCAACAAGGCGAUGAUCAGUAGCGGGACUGAUAGGGUGAACGGCCACAUGGGGACUGAGACACGGCCCAGACCCCUACGGGAGGCAGCAGUGGGGAAGCGUCCGCAAUGGACGAAAGUCUGACGGUGCAACGCCGCGUGAGUGAUGACGGCCUUCGGGUUGUAAAGCUCUGUUAAUCGGGACGCGGUACCGGAAUAGAAAGCCACGGCUAACUACGUGCCAGCAGCCGCGGUAAUAC
This 408-nucleotide ribosomal RNA is filed under the name uncultured bacterium. RNAcentral describes it as "partial 16S ribosomal RNA". It matches the Rfam family "Bacterial small subunit ribosomal RNA", at positions 28 to 526 of the family's 1533-position model. The record is from RNAcentral.